CCUACGGGUGGCAGCAGUAGGGAAUCUUCCACAAUGGGCGAAAGCCUGAUGGAGCAACGCCGCGUGGGUGAAGAAGGUCUUCGGAUCGUAAAACUCUGUUGUUAGAGAAGAAAGUGCGUGAGAGUAACUGUUCACGUUUCGACGGUAUCUAACCAGAAAGCCACGGCUAACUACGUGCCAGCAGCCGCGGUAAUACGUAGGUGGCAAGCGUUAUCCGGAUUUAUUGGGCGUAAAGGGAACGCAGGCGGUCUUUUAAGUCUGAUGUGAAAGCCUUCGGCUUAACCGGAGUAGUGCAUUGGAAACUGGGAGACUUGAGUGCAGAAGAGGAGAGUAGAAUUCCAUGUGUAGCGGUGAAAUGCGUAGAUAUAUGGAAGAACACCAGUGGCGAAAGCGGCUAUCUGGUCUGUAACUGACGCUGAGGUUCGAAAGCGUGGGUAGCAAACAGGAUUAGAUACCCGGGUAGUC
RNAcentral lists this ribosomal RNA (465 nucleotides) under uncultured bacterium. RNAcentral's name for it is "partial 16S ribosomal RNA". It matches the Rfam family "Bacterial small subunit ribosomal RNA", at positions 338 to 795 of the family's 1533-position model. The record is from RNAcentral.